Molecule: ribosomal RNA, 250 nt
Filed under: uncultured prokaryote
Description: partial 16S ribosomal RNA
Rfam family: Bacterial small subunit ribosomal RNA
Source: RNAcentral
UGCGUAGGGGGCGAGCGUUGUCCGGAAUUAUUGGGCGUAAAGAGCUCGUAGGCGGCUCAGCAAGUCGGCUGUGAAAUCCCGAGGCUCAACCUCGGAACUGCAGUCGAUACUGCUGUGGCUAGAGUCUGGUAGAGGAGAGUGGAAUUCCCGGUGUAGCGGUGAAAUGCGCAGAUAUCGGGAGGAACACCGAUGGCGAAGGCAGGUCUCUGGGCCACUACUGACGCUGAGAAGCGAAAGCAUGGGGAGCGAA